RNAcentral lists this ribosomal RNA (234 nucleotides) under uncultured bacterium. RNAcentral describes it as "partial 16S ribosomal RNA". It matches the Rfam family "Bacterial small subunit ribosomal RNA", at positions 118 to 347 of the family's 1533-position model. The record is from RNAcentral.
UGAGGAACAUGACCUUCGGCGGGGGAUAGCCGGCCCAACGGCCGGGUAAUACCGCGUACGACCACAUGGGGACAUCCCUGAGUGGUGAAAGCAGCAAUGCGCCGAUGGAGUGCCUCGCGGCCUAUCAGCUAGUUGGUGAGGUAAUGGCCCACCAAGGCGACGACGGGUAGCCGGCCUGAGAGGGUGACCGGCCACACUGGGACUGAGACACGGCCCAGACUCCUGCGGGAGCAG